GCUGGGUGUGGUGGCACAUGCCUGUAAUCCCAGUCGCUUGGGAGGCUGAGGUAGGAGGAUGGAGAUUCGAGUUCAAAGCCAGCCUCAG
This 88-nucleotide small RNA is filed under the name Marmota monax (woodchuck). The record is from RNAcentral. Lineage: Eukaryota; Metazoa; Chordata; Mammalia; Rodentia; Sciuridae.